UACGAAGGGGGCUAGCGUUGUUCGGAAUUACUGGGCGUAAAGCGCACGUAGGCGGACAUUUAAGUCAGGGGUGAAAUCCCAGAGCUCAACUCUGGAACUGCCUUUGAUACUGGGUGUCUUGAGUAUGGAAGAGGUGAGUGGAAUUCCGAGUGUAGAGGUGAAAUUCGUAGAUAUUCGGAGGAACACCAGUGGCGAAAGCGGCUCACUGGUCCAUUACUGACGCUGAGGUGCGAAAGCGUGGGGAGCAAACAGG
RNAcentral lists this ribosomal RNA (253 nucleotides) under uncultured bacterium. RNAcentral's name for it is "partial 16S ribosomal RNA". It matches the Rfam family "Bacterial small subunit ribosomal RNA", at positions 524 to 776 of the family's 1533-position model. The record is from RNAcentral.